UGGGGAAUAUUGGACAAUGGGCGAAAGACUGAUCCAGCCAUGCCGCGUGUGUGAAGAAGGUCUUCGGAUUGUAAAGCACUUUAAGUUGGGAGGAAGGGCAGUAAGCGAAUACCUUGCUGUUUUGACGUUACCGACAGAAUAAGCACCGGCUAACUCUGUGCCAGCAGCCGCGGUAAUACAGAGGGUGCAAGCGUUAAUCGGAAUUACUGGGCGUAAAGCGCGCGUAGGUGGUUCGUUAAGUUGAAUGUGAAAGCCCCGGGCUCAACCUGGGAACUGCAUCCAAAACUGGCGAGCUAGAGUAGGGCAGAGGGUGGUGGAAUUUCCUGUGUAGCGGUGAAAUGCGUAGAUAUAGGAAGGAACACCAGUGGCGAAGGCGACCACCUGGGCUCAUACUGACACUGAGGUGCGAAAGCGUGGGGAGCAAACAGG
This 429-nucleotide ribosomal RNA is filed under the name Pseudomonadota bacterium. Its description in RNAcentral is "Proteobacteria bacterium partial 16S ribosomal RNA". It matches the Rfam family "Bacterial small subunit ribosomal RNA", at positions 355 to 776 of the family's 1533-position model. Lineage: Bacteria; Pseudomonadati; Pseudomonadota. The record is from RNAcentral.